AAGAUCUGAUUCCAGGCGGCCAUGCGUACGCCCAUGAGCAUGAAGUCAUCAUUCUCGUGUGUCGAGGAUCUUUGGCUGAACUGCAUCAUGCAGACUUUUCAAAGGAACACUACAAUAAUGUGCACAGACCUUCUUAGUAGGUGCAUGGAUUAAAAAACUCAGAAGAGCCCUCCAGUUGUAAAAUGUUCCAGGAGCAAACAUUUCUUUGUACAAGACAAACAAGAGCAAAGUCAAAACUGCAGGUACAAUCGACCUGGUUCUUUUCUAUCUUCUGGUAACACAGCAGGGCCAGUCUUCACUAGUGACUCCCACUUAUCAAACCGUCUAUUUGUUCAAUCAUAUUUAUUAAAAAUAGAACAGGGUAAAAACUA
This is a non-coding RNA of Gasterosteus aculeatus aculeatus (three-spined stickleback), 371 nucleotides long. NCBI's taxonomy places the organism in Eukaryota, Metazoa, Chordata, Actinopteri, Perciformes, Gasterosteidae. The record is from RefSeq and is a predicted model, not a curated record.